CCUACGGGAGGCUGCAGUGAGGAAUAUUGGUCAAUGGACGAGAGUCUGAACCAGCCAAGUAGCGUGAAGGAUGACUGCCCUAUGGGCUGUAAACUUCUUUUAUAUGGGAAUAAAACGUUCCACGUGUGGGAUUUUGUAUGUACCAUAUGAAUAAGGAUCGGCUAACUCCGUGCCAGCAGCCGCGGUAAUACGGAGGAUCCGAGCGUUAUCCGGAUUUAUUGGGUUUAAAGGGAGCGUAGGUGGAUUGGUAAGUCAGUUGUGAAAGUUUGCGGCUCAACCGUAAAAUUGCAGUUGAAACUGGCAGGCUUGAGUACAGGAGAGGUGGGCGGAAUGCGUGGUGUAGCGGUGAAAUGCUUAGAUAUCACGAAGAACUCCGAUUGCGAAGGCAGCUCACUGGACUGCAACUGACACUGAGGCUCGAAAGUGUGGGUAUCAAACAGGAUUAGAUACCCUAGUAGUC
This 460-nucleotide ribosomal RNA is filed under the name uncultured bacterium. Its description in RNAcentral is "partial 16S ribosomal RNA". It matches the Rfam family "Bacterial small subunit ribosomal RNA", at positions 338 to 795 of the family's 1533-position model. The record is from RNAcentral.